GACGAACGCUGGCGGCGUGCCUAAUACAUGCAAGUAGAACGCUGAAGGAGGAGCUUGCUCUUCUGGAUGAGUUGCGAACGGGUGAGUAACGCGUAGGUAACCUGCCUGGUAGCGGGGGAUAACUAUUGGAAACGAUAGCUAAUACCGCAUAACAGUAGAUAUCGCAUGAUAGCUGCUUAAAAGGUGCAAUUGCACCACUACCAGAUGGACCUGCGUUGUAUUAGCUAGUUGGUGAGGUAACGGCUCACCAAGGCCACGAUACAUAGCCGACCUGAGAGGGUGAUCGGCCACACUGGGACUGAGACACGGCCCAGACUCCUACGGGAGGCAGCAGUAGGGAAUCUUCGGCAAUGGACGGAAGUCUGACCGAGCAACGCCGCGUGAGUGAAGAAGGUUUUCGGAUCGUAAAGCUCUGUUGUAAGAGAAGAACGAGUGUGAGAGUGGAAAGUUCACACUGUGACGGUAUCUUACCAGAAAGGGACGG
This 484-nucleotide ribosomal RNA is filed under the name Streptococcus infantis. Its description in RNAcentral is "bacterial SSU rRNA". It matches the Rfam family "Bacterial small subunit ribosomal RNA", at positions 28 to 496 of the family's 1533-position model. Lineage: Bacteria; Bacillati; Bacillota; Bacilli; Lactobacillales; Streptococcaceae. The record is from RNAcentral.